UACGGCCACAUAACGUUGAAACACCUGUUCUGGUACGAUCACCGAUGUUAAGCAAGGUCGAACCAAGUCAGUACCUAGAUGGGUGACUGAUUGGGAAUACCAGGUGCUGUAAG
Molecule: ribosomal RNA, 113 nt
Filed under: Acanthosepion pharaonis
Lineage: Eukaryota; Metazoa; Mollusca; Cephalopoda; Sepiida; Sepiidae
Source: RNAcentral